This 253-nucleotide ribosomal RNA is filed under the name uncultured bacterium. Its description in RNAcentral is "partial 16S ribosomal RNA". It matches the Rfam family "Bacterial small subunit ribosomal RNA", at positions 524 to 776 of the family's 1533-position model. The record is from RNAcentral.
UACGUAGGGCGCAAGCGUUGUCCGGAAUUAUUGGGCGUAAAGAGCUCGUAGGCGGUUUGUCGCGUCUGCUGUGAAAACCCGGGGCUCAACUUCGGGCUUGCGGUCGAUACGGGCGGGCUAGAGUUCGGUAGGGGAGACUGGAAUUCCUGGUGUAGCGGUGAAAUGCGCAGAUAUCAGGAGGAACACCGGUGGCGAAGGCGGGUCUCUGGGCCGAUACUGACGCUGAGGAGCGAAAGCGUGGGGAGCGAACAGG